Molecule: ribosomal RNA, 448 nt
Filed under: uncultured bacterium
Lineage: Bacteria
Description: bacterial SSU rRNA
Rfam family: Bacterial small subunit ribosomal RNA
Source: RNAcentral
UCCAGACUCCUACGGGAGGCAGCAGUGGGGGAUAUUGCACAAUGGGGGAAACCCUGAUGCAGCGACGCCGCGUGGGCGAAGAAGUAUUUCGGUAUGUAAAGCCCUCUCAGCAGGGAAGAAGAAAUGACGGUACCUGAGUAAGAAGCACCGGCUAAAUACGUGCCAGCAGCCGCGGUAAUACGUAUGGUGCAAGCGUUAUCCGGAUUUACUGGGUGUAAAGGGAGCGCAGGCGGCACGGCAAGCCUGAUGUGAAAGCCCGCGGCCCAACCGCGGGACUGCUCUUGGAACUGCGUGGCUGGAGUGCAGGAGGGGCAGGCGGAAUUCCUGGUGUAGCGGUGAAAUGCGUAGAUAUUAGGAGGAACACCAGUGGCGAAGGCGGCUUACUGGACUGUAACUGACGUUGAGGCUCGAAAGCGUGGGGAGCAAACAGGAUUAGAUACCCGGGUAA